UUACAGCCAUAUUAGGUUGAAACACCGUUUCCCAUACGACCAUCGAAGUUAAGCAACGUCGAACCUGAUCAGUACCUAGAUGAGAAACCGCUUGAGAAUACCAGCCGCUGUA
Molecule: non-coding RNA, 112 nt
Organism: Acanthosepion pharaonis
Lineage: Eukaryota; Metazoa; Mollusca; Cephalopoda; Sepiida; Sepiidae
Source: the annotation of a GenBank genome assembly